RNAcentral lists this ribosomal RNA (437 nucleotides) under uncultured bacterium. Its description in RNAcentral is "bacterial SSU rRNA". It matches the Rfam family "Bacterial small subunit ribosomal RNA", at positions 954 to 1392 of the family's 1533-position model. The record is from RNAcentral.
GCAUAACGCGAAGAACCUUACCUACCCUUGACAUGUCAGAGAUCCCUGAGAGAUUGGGGAGUGCCGCAAGGAAUCUGAACACAGGUGCUGCAUGGCUGUCGUCAGCUCGUGUCGUGAGAUGUUGGGUUAAGUCCCGCAACGAGCGCAACCCUUGUCGUUAAUUGCCAUCAUUUGGUUGGGCACUUUAACGAGACUGCCGGUGACAAACCGGAGGAAGGUGGGGAUGACGUCAAGUCCUCAUGGCCCUUAUGGGUAGGGCUUCACACGUCAUACAAUGGUCGGUACAGAGGGUUGCGAAGCCGCGAGGUGGAGCCAAUCCCAGAAAGCCGAUCGUAGUCCGGAUUGGAGGCUGCAACUCGCCUACAUGAAGUCGGAAUCGCUAGUAAUCGCGGAUCAGCAUGUCGCGGUGAAUACGUUCCCGGGUCUUGUACACACCG